Molecule: ribosomal RNA, 548 nt
Filed under: uncultured bacterium
Lineage: Bacteria
Description: partial 16S ribosomal RNA
Rfam family: Bacterial small subunit ribosomal RNA
Source: RNAcentral
UGGGGAAUAUUGCACAAUGGGCGAAAGCCUGAUGCAGCGACGCCGCGUGAGGGAUGACGGCCUUCGGGUUGUAAACCUCUUUCAGCAGGGAAGAAGCGAAAGUGACGGUACCUGCAGAAGAAGCGCCGGCUAACUACGUGCCAGCAGCCGCGGUAAUACGUAGGGCGCAAGCGUUGUCCGGAAUUAUUGGGCGUAAAGAGCUCGUAGGCGGUUAGUCGCGUCUGCUGUGAAAACUCGAGGCUCAACCUCGGGCUUGCAGUGGGUACGGGCUGACUAGAGUGCGGUAGGGGGUGACUGGAAUUCCUGGUGUAGCGGUGGAAUGCGCAGAUAUCAGGAGGAACACCGAUGGCGAAGGCAGGUCACUGGGCCGCAACUGACGCUGAGGAGCGAAAGCAUGGGGAGCGAACAGGAUUAGAUACCCUGGUAGUCCAUGCCGUAAAACGUUGGGCACUAGGUGUGGGGUCCAUUCCAACGGAUUCCGUGCCGCAGCAAACGCAUUAAGUGCCCCCGCCUGGGGAGUACGGCCGCAAGGCUAAAACUCAAAUGAA